RNAcentral lists this ribosomal RNA (253 nucleotides) under uncultured bacterium. Its description in RNAcentral is "partial 16S ribosomal RNA". It matches the Rfam family "Bacterial small subunit ribosomal RNA", at positions 524 to 776 of the family's 1533-position model. The record is from RNAcentral.
UACAGAGGUGGCAAGCGUUGUUCGGAAUUACUGGGCGUAAAGGGCGCGUAGGCGGCUUGGUCAGUCCCGUGUGAAAUCCCUCGGCUCAACUGAGGAACUGCACGGGAAACUGCCUGGCUUGAGUUCGGGAGAGGGAAGCGGAAUUCCGGGUGUAGCGGUGAAAUGCGUAGAGAUCCGGAGGAACACCGAAGGCGAAGGCAGUGUCCUGGCUGGUGACUGACGCUGAGGUGCGAAAGCUAGGGGAGCGAACGGG